AUUGAACGCUGGCGGUAUGCUUAAGACAUGCAAGUCGAACGGUAACAGACCUUCGGGUGCUGACGAGUGGCGGACGGGUGAGUAACACGUGGGAAUCUACCUUGUAGUGGGGGAUAAGCCAGGGAAACUUGGACUAAUACCGCAUACGCCCUAAGGGGAAAGGAGUAAUUCGCUAUAAGAUGAGCCCGCGUCUGAUUAGCUAGUUGGUGAGGUAAAGGCUCACCAAGGCGACGAUCAGUAGCUGGUCUGAGAGGAUGACCAGCCACAUUGGGACUGAGACACGGCCCAGACUCCUACGGGAGGCAGCAGUCGGGAAUAUUGGACAAUGGGGGCAACCCUGAUCCAGCAAUACCGCGUGUGUGAAGAAGGCCUGCGGGUUGUAAAGCACUUUUAGUAGGGAAGAUAAUGACGUUACCUACAGAAAAAGCACCGGCUAACUCCGUG
RNAcentral lists this ribosomal RNA (444 nucleotides) under uncultured bacterium. Its description in RNAcentral is "bacterial SSU rRNA". It matches the Rfam family "Bacterial small subunit ribosomal RNA", at positions 30 to 507 of the family's 1533-position model. The record is from RNAcentral.